Long non-coding RNA from Ictalurus furcatus (blue catfish), 4106 nucleotides. RefSeq lists it as uncharacterized. The record is from RefSeq and is a predicted model, not a curated record. The transcript has 3 exons. NCBI's taxonomy places the organism in Eukaryota, Metazoa, Chordata, Actinopteri, Siluriformes, Ictaluridae.
UCUCAGCCAGUGGGGUGGUUAAAUGAAUAAAAACUGAAUUAAAAGCCAAUGUUUAUUGGCCUGGUCAUUAGAGAGCCGUAUGUCUUUCCUGAGAGGGCACGGAAGUGAUUUCAGAACUGCACUGAAAAGAACCAGAGGCCAGAAAGUGAGAGUAGUAAAGAACCGCACAUCUUCCUUCUCUUUGUUUUUUCCCUCUUCAAUCCAUUUAUAUCAACUGAACACAGAUCAAAUGCUUACAAAAUGGCAUUAUUAGGGGGGAAAUAAUAGCAUACUGUCUAUUUGCACUUAGGUGAAAAUGGCCAAAGAAUGAACCUAUUUGUGCCAUUAAGCACCAAAAACCAGAAGUGUGCAUAUGUAACAAAAUUGUCAGGACCUUAUUUAUUAGCUAAUUUGCUGAACAUGCUGUGCUAAUGUUGCAAGCUAGCGUAGCUCCAGAAGUAGCACUUAUGUGCUAAAUCAUGACAGUUGCUUUCUAAUAGCAGCAGAGGAUUUGCAGUGGUGCAAAAUGUUAAUAAAUCUGCUCCAUUAUGUGGUGAAGUGAAACGAAAAAUGAUUAUUAAAGACAUACUAGAGUUGUAUCAUUCUGGCUGAUUCUGACUGAGCCACAUUCAGGUUUUUCAGCAGUUUUCUCAGUACUUCCAAAAGGAAAACGAUCACGACUAAUCACAACUUUGAAUCUUUUAGCUACAGAGCCUGUGUUUUAAGCUGUCUAGCUAGUUAACUUGGCGAAUGUUAGAGGUAAAAGUAGUUCUGAUUGCUCUGAUAUAUGUGUACAGGUUUGCCUGCUGUUAAAUAAACCACUGAGAAUAUGAUAAUGCAGGUUUACUAGCAGCUGGCUAGAAAUCCGCUAACUAACAAAGUUAAUGUUUGUGAUGGACAGGCUCGUGGGUGUUUUGCAAGGCUGUGUUUUGACAGGGUUGUUUACUGUUAAAUAAAUCUCUCAUAGUAAAAUACUGCUCAUGUCAAACAUGUGCUAAUUUACUAGCAGUUAGUUAUUAGAGAGUAUGGAGGACAUGUGGUUGGCAGGGUUGCCAGGUCUCACCAAAAUUUCCUACCCAGUCUGAAAAACUGCACAACAGGACCUGAAAAUAUCCCCAAAACAUUGGGCAUUGUACAACUGAGAUGCGUUUGUUGUGAUUUUUUUUUUUUUUUUUUAUCAUUCUUUGCAUGUGAAGCAAGUUCUCAAUGGUUCAGAGAACACACAUUUCUGAUUUGCACUAUGUCUUUUUUUUAUUUUUUAUCAUCACAUAGUCUGGAUAAUAUGCAGUCCAUAAUCCCCUUUCCCUCACUGAAACUGUGCCAUUUUUCUUAAAUAGAAACAGUUCUGUAUAUCGUAGUCACACCGUCUGCACUUACGCUUUCCCUUUGUUUUCCAGAGUCUAUAGUUGUGAAUAUUUAUUUGAUUUAAUUCCAGUUAUUUGCUUUAAAACAAGACCUUGGCAACCAUUAACUAGCCCAAAUGACACAACCUGCAGACUUGCUUUAUUUUUGCAGCCUUGUUCCAAAAAUGGUGUAAAAAAAACACAACACUGGCAACCCUAUAUGUCUGUUUACAAAUUGUAUAAAUACUGGUAUUUUAAUGAUGGUAUGUUUCUUAGGCAUUAAAAACAUAUUUAGAUAUUUUAACAUGAUUCUGCUGCUUUCAAAUCAUUACUGUUUUAUGUUUAUUAUUGCAUACUUUUCUUUUCUGUUGUUGUUGUUGUUGUUUUUUUUUUAAAAAAAUCCUCUUUCUAUGGAUGGGUUGAUGUUUUCACGAUUCCGUUUUCCUCCUGUCAGUCUCUCAUCCAUCCUCUGAUGAAGAUAAUUAAUCAGAACCAGGCUGCCAUAUUGCCAGAGUCUCCACAGGACUAUAGCUCUGGUUCAUUUGGAGGUCACAGCGAUGGAGGAUCAAAGGCUUUCCGAAAGAAGAGAGAACACUCUUUCCCACUCUCACUUUCAUUUUUUUAGGCAGUCAGUCUCUCUCGUUGCUUCUCCAUCCCUCUCUCCCUCUCUCUUUGAUCUCCGCAUUCGUUCUCUGAAAGAAGAGGCAGCAGUCCCUCCCGGCUGUUCCUCUUCUCUUUAGAAUGUCGUAAGAAGCUGCACUUGAUAUCCUCAUAAAACGCGACACACACACACACACACACACACACACACACACACACACACACACACACACAAAUAUACACACACACCCAAACACAACAGAAGCAAAGUCAGGCUCUCUGGGGUUGGCAACCUCCACUUCAGCACUUGUGUGGGAGUCGAGCUGCCUACUUGAAACAAUGCAGCAAUGGAGAGGGGGAGAUGGAAAACGGGAUGGAGUGAGAGCAUGUGAUGGAAAGAGGGAGGGAAAGAGCUAAUUAUGGCAUUGAUGUGGGUUGAUAUGAGUGAAGUGUUCAUGUGCCAAAAGUCCAGAAUAUCACUGGCACAGGGAAGUACACUUAGCAUUGUGAACCCUGUGUGAGUUUUACAUAAGACAUCAAGUGCUGAGGCUUAUUUCAGACCUUCCAAAUCAGUGCUGGUGGUCUGGCAAAACCCAUCAGAAGUUGCCGUGAGUGAGCCAAUGAAGGCGAAAAGUUGGUUUUGGCUAAAAUUGGGUUUUUCUGCUUGUAACGUACUUCGACACCUCAGUUUACGACUCUGUGGCUGUCUCUCUGCAGAAGCCUUAAAGCAGUGGUCAGCAAACCUCCUGCUUGAGAUCUACCUUCAUGCAGGUUUCAUCUCCAACCAAAAUCUCACACGCUUGUUUUAGUUGAUCAAGAACUUCUGAAGGCAAUGAUUAGAUGGUCAGGUGGGCACGAUUAUGGUUGGAGCUAAAGUCUUCAGGAAGAGGGAUCUCCAGGAACAGGGUUGGUGAUCACUGUCUUAAAGGUUCUUUUAUAGAACCCAACAGAGUGCUUUCCUGUCAGAAAGGGUUUCAAGAAGAAGACAUUUUUGAAAGCUAAGACCCUAUAAAUAUCCAACGAACACUCCAAGAACCCCACUUUCAACACGUGGAGUGAGAGAAAGAACGACAGAGGAGCAAGGAAGGAAGAAAGUGGGGAAACAAAGGUAGUAAGAAAGAAAGAAAGAGUGGUUGAGAAAAAAAGAGAAAAAAGAACAGAAAGACAAAAACAGAAAGACAGGAGAAAAAUACAGAAGGGGAAAUGCAAGAACAGAAGAAAAAAAGAGAGAAAGACAGUGUGACUGAAAGAAAUGCAGAAAGAACAAAAAUAAAGAGAAAGAUGAAAUAUGAAUGCAGGGAAACCACAGAGAAAGAAAGAAAGAAAGAAAGUGAGAGAAGGGGGAGCUGAGUGGGGGGGAAACAGAGACAGAGUACAGAAAGACAAAAACAGAAAUACAGGGAAAAAUAAAAAAUACAGAAGGGGAAAUGCAAGAAGAGAAGAAAAGAAAGAAAGAAAGAAAGAAAGUGUGACUGAAAGAAAAGCAGAAAGAACAAAAAGAAAGCAAGAAAGUGGGAUGAAAAGAGAAAAGAAAGAAAGAAAGAGGGAGAAUGAAAAAGGGGGAACUGAAUGGGAAAAAGCAGAGAGAGAGUGAGAGAGUGUGAACACAAAGAAAGAAAGAAAGAAAGAAAGAAAGAAGUGAGAGGUCUAGAGAGGGCGUGAGGAAGGAAAGAGAAACUUACAGAAAGAAAGAAGAAAAAAAUGAAAUGAGUGUAGGGAAGCUGUGAAAGGAAAGGGCUUUCAGAUGAAUGCUCAAGGACACUAAGAACUUAAGGCAGACAAGCGUCUGCAGAGUUUCAUUUAGAAACUCUGCGAUGGCAUGAAAAUCCGUCAUGUCUGCUGUCUUCUCCGGCUGCUGGUUUUGGAAAUGUAAUUUAUUGCAGUGUGUGCAAUAUGAAUGAAGCCAAGAUGUGUCAUUAUUCAACUUAGUAGUUUCUAAAUGCCAGUACUGUCUUCAGUUUCUCUUUGAAAUGUACCCAGAGCUAAAAUCCCUAGAAUAGAGAUCAACUAAAACUUCACUGGACAAACGAAACCGACUGAUGAUCCACUCCUCACUCUCAGCGUAGCGUUUCCAGUGGUGCUAAAAACUCCUUCCUCUCUCCGCAAAGCUCCAUGAGACAAAUCUUCAAUCAAGGCAUAAUCCUAAUCCAUCUUUAUAAAUGUUUUCUUUUAUAUGAUUUUUAC